RNAcentral lists this ribosomal RNA (1905 nucleotides) under Triticum aestivum (bread wheat). RNAcentral describes it as "partial small subunit ribosomal RNA". The record is from RNAcentral. Lineage: Eukaryota; Viridiplantae; Streptophyta; Magnoliopsida; Poales; Poaceae.
AUGGGGACGGCGACGAUGGCCACGGCGUUGGGCGCGGCCAUGUUGCUCUACUUCGUGCUGAGCCGGAGGCUGGCGAAUCACGAGGAGGCCGCCGGUAGCUCCGGCGGGGGCGGAGGAGGGAAAAGGCGGAGGGGACGCGCGGCGCGGCAGCCAUCGCAGCCGCCUGCGACAUGGAUGGAGGCGGUGGGUACGCUCGCCGAGACGCUGCGAUUCACCUACUCGGAGACGCUCGGGAAGUGGCCCAUCGGGGACCUCGCCUUCGGGAUCAAGUACCUCAUGCGUCGCCAGGGCAAUCUACAUGUCGCCGGUGUAUAUGCUGGAAGCAAUUGCAUUGAACUUAAAGGACCUGAAGUCAUGGAAGAGUUGAUUGUUCUACGACGGCUAAUUGAUUUAUGCUUUCUUUUCUCUAAGAAAUCAUUCCCAGUUUUCCUAGAAUUGGCUGGAUUUUCACAAGUGGAUGUUCUCAUUGAGGAACCUAAAGCAGGGAUUUUAAAGCCAGCUCAUACAAUUCUGCGUGAUGAGUGCACAAAAUCCUUUCUUGUUUUGAUACGAGGCACUCAUAGCAUGAAAGACACACUAACUGCUGUUACUGGUGCUGUAGUACCAUUUCACCACUCAGUAUUAGAUGAGGGUGGUAUCAGCAAGUUAGUCUUAGGGUAUGCACACUGUGGGAUGGUUGCAGCAGCACGCUGGAUUGCAAGAGGUAUAACACCAUGCCUCCUUCAAGCCGUCACUCAGUGCCCAGAGUACCAAAUAAAGAUUGUUGGCCAUUCAUUGGGUGGUGGCACUGCUGCAUUACUGACUUACAUCUUAAGAGAACACACAGAGUUCUCCACAACAACUUGUGUUGCAUUUGCCCCAGCUUCAUGCAUGACAUGGGAAUUAGCAGAAUCAGGCAAGCACUUUGUAACCACGAUUGUUAAUGGUGCUGAUCUGGUUCCUACAGUAUCAACUGCGUCUAUUGAUGAUCUUCGUUCUGAGGUAACGGCAUCUUCAUGGCUGAAUGACUUGAGGGAUCAAAUACAGCAGACGCGUUUCCUGAAUGCCGUUUACCGGUCUGCUACCGCUUUAGGAACUCGCCUGCAGUCUUUCUCUGGUGCGAGAGCCAGGGUUGCUGGUGCUGGGGCACUACUAUGCCCUGUUUCAAGCAAAACCCUGGUUGUGAUGAAACAAGCACAGAAUGUAGCACAGGCUGUUGCAAGAAGUCGGUCAGCGCUGUCUUCAUGGGCAUGCAUGGGUGCACGCCGUCGACCUGUAGGCGUAAUAGCUGUAAGUCAGGAUGAAAUGACUGCAGAAACCCAUGUUAAAACCACAGUGGAUUCAGAGUCCUUUGUUGUAGAACAACAUGUCACAGAGGUCGUAGAGGAGCUGCAGUAUGCUGGAACUAGUAUUUCAGUUCACGAGGAAACAGAAGAAGAGGCUCUUAUGAGUGAGCAUGAAACUUCUAGGGAGCAUACAGAAGAAGAAAUAACUGACGGUGAGUUGUGGUUUGAGUUCGACAAAGACCGGGAUCGGCAAGCUGAAGUGGAAGCACGAACCCGGGCGGAAGAAGCAGCUGCUGCCAAGGAAAUAAUGGAGGAGGAAAGUGCUGUCCUAAAGAAUGUAGAGGAUAGGCAGUCCUUUUCAUCAGAUAGCCUCGAGAGGCAGCAAUUCUACCCCCCUGGUAGAAUCAUGCAUAUGGUUGCCAUGCCUCCUCCAGAUGCUGGUCCGGAUGAUCCUAUUGUCACUGAUGAGUGCACUGUUGGAUUAUACGGGACACCGAGACAUCUUUACAGCAAGAUCCGACUAUCUAAUACCAUGAUCAAUGACCAUUAUAUGCCAAUGUACAAGAAAAUGAUGGAAAUAUUGAUUGAGAAGUUUGCAAACAAUGAUGACAACUCUGGUGCAGAUUCUACAGUAGAAUAG